CAAUAGCGUAUAUUAAAGUUGUUGCAGUUAAAAAGCUCGUAGUUGGACCUUGGACCUGGACAGGCGGUCCGCCUCACGGCGUGUACUGUCUUGCUGGGUCUUUCCUCUUGGCGAUCUGUUGUUUCGGCAGCAGGGAACCAGGACUUUUACUUUGAAAAAAUUAGAGUGUUCAAAGCAGGCUCGACGCCGGAAUAUAUUAGCGUGGAAUAAUAAAAUAGGACGUGCGGUUCUAUUUUGUUGGUUUUUGGAAUCGCCGUAAUGAUUAAUAGGGACAGUCGGGGGCAUUAGUACUCACAUGCUAGAGGUGAAAUUCUUGGAUUUUGUGAAGACUAACUUCUGCGAAAGCAUUUGCCAAGGAUGUUUUCAUUAA
This 370-nucleotide ribosomal RNA is filed under the name uncultured eukaryote. Its description in RNAcentral is "partial 18S ribosomal RNA". It matches the Rfam family "Eukaryotic small subunit ribosomal RNA", at positions 592 to 976 of the family's 1831-position model. The record is from RNAcentral.